Molecule: long non-coding RNA, 2209 nt
Organism: Hordeum vulgare subsp. vulgare (domesticated barley)
Lineage: Eukaryota; Viridiplantae; Streptophyta; Magnoliopsida; Poales; Poaceae
Exons: 2
Source: RefSeq, a predicted model, not a curated record
UUCGGCCGUCGUCGAGAAGCCCUCCCCGCGGCUAUAUAAGCGCGUUCCCGAGCUCCCCUCCUCACGAGGAAGCCCAACCCCUCCUCCAAUCAACAUCGGAAAGUCCCCUCUUCCCAUCCAUGGCCGAGAGCCCUCCACCAAUCCCGAAGCCAAAUCCAUCCCCGUAGCCCUUUCCACUCCCUCUCUUCGUCUUGGAAGUCAACCCUAGGAGCUAGCGGAGCCACCGCCGCGCUCCGUUCCGCCAUGGAGGUCUUGCUGGCGCAGUUCCCCGUUGGAGCUCUCCGAUCGCUGGCGCUUGAGCCACGACAACGGUGCUACCGUCCAUCCCGGGCGACCCCGAGGCCACCUGCGGGUGUGGCAUAGCGCGGCCGAGUCGUCCCACUCGCCGGUCGGACCGCAGGUGCAAGAGGUCGAUCGCCAAGGCGCGACCCAAGGCCCCCUCUGUCUUUGCCCUGUGGUCGCGAGGAAGACGACGGUCAGGGAGGAGAGAGAGAGGAGCCACGUGGGCCCCCAUGUCAUCCAGUCGGCGUUGACCAGUCCGCCCGCUGACUGGGAUUAGUGGAAGCAUAUUUCUAAAUUACGCUUUCCAACUUCGAAAGCGUACUCGGGCACAGUUUCGGAUGAGAAUACGCUUUUGGUUACUGAAAGCAUAAACGUUGGAAAGGCUCCUUCUCCUUUCUCAGCCGUCGGUCGAAAGUGCUGAAGAGUGAGCAUUCACCCGUUAGGAACUGUGGUGGACACUGUUUUGCCCAUCUUACACCCUAAAGAACGAACGCUCGUAUCUUCGCGACCGUAGCUCCGAUUCAGCCCCUUCGAGAGCGAACGGCUUCCGGCGAUUCCUUCCGCGGACUCUCUGCACUUAUUCCUGGAGUAUUAUUCGACCCCAGGCAAGCUAACCAUCUGAUAUAUGCCCUAAAGCAUUGCUUUGUGUUAUUCUUGCAUGUUUAAUUAAUAUGCCUAUGAUAGAAAUAAUUAAACUUCUGUUAGAAUGCACUUACUGCUUACAUUACUUGCAUUAGUUUGUUAUGUGCUAACUCAAGGUAAUAUGCUGAGAUGCCUAGUGGCUGCCCUUAUAAGUUAUUGUGGUAAAACACAUGUUUACAUAAUGAACGUAGUCGGUUGAUCUAGAGUCACCUGUCCGGGCUUAUCCGUGCAGCCACAUUUGCCGGUAUAGGACAGCCUUGACUUGGUCUGAUAGCGUGCUCUUUCACCGAUACCUCCAGACACGGAAGGUUAUGCGCACGCGCUGCCCUAGCCCGGUAGGCGGCAAUAACCUUGUGAGCCAAGUUGAUUGUUUGACCCGGGAGUACCCGUUUGGGACAGUUUAGUUUGUCCACGACGGUGGCAGGUGUCAUGAGGACACAGGGGCCACCCAGGGCAGGACUCCGGGGGAGGAUGAAUGCCGGUGGUACGAUGAGAGAGUCAUGGGUGAGGCAGGUUUUGUUGGAGCAACGCUGGUCCACACGAAUGGGAUCAUGAGGCUAGGUGCUCCAUGGUGUGUGUAAAGUGCGCACCUGUGCAGAGUGUCAAAUCUAUUCGAAUAGCCGCGUCCACGGUAUUGGACAGCCCGUCCAGACCUCACUAGAUGGUCAACCAUAUCAACGAUAACAAUGAUGGAAGAACUCGUCUUGUGCAGACAUCAGAUGACGAUAUGUUAGCCAUGGGAUGGCUAUGAGAUGAGUGGUCGGAUGACCACAUGAGUUGGAUUGGAUUUGGAUCAGAUUCAGACUCGAUCAUGAGAAUAUUCGGAGUAUAAAUAAUUUACUUAAUAUGGUUUAUCUUAUCGUAUUUACUUUAGUAGUUAUCUUGCUGGAUAAUCGUGUUAUACCUUGAUAAUUAAUAUUGCUAGAUAGGUAUGCUAUGUCAUGAUAAUUAAUAUUGCUCUAAUAAAAAAUGCAUGCUUGAAUGCCAUGGAAUUGCAUUGCUUGGUGUAUAUGUUAGUUUGGUUUGCUUGCGACUACAUUCAAAAGUACUCAGCGGCUUUUAACAUGGCCAGGUUCACAUAAGGAUCCGUCGUCCAUCAUCAAGGAGCCGGAGUGUUCCCGGGCUAGAAGAGUAACCUAGUCAGAUCUGUGUGGAUUGGAGCAGCACCAAGACCAUGCUGCCUUAGAUAGAGCUUUUCCGCUGCCAUCACCCUUGUGAUAUAUCUUGUAAGACUAAUAUAUCCAUUAACAGAAAUGCAUGUGUUCAUGAUACUUGUUGUAAUGCA